RNAcentral lists this long non-coding RNA (744 nucleotides) under Bos taurus (domestic cattle). RNAcentral's name for it is "long non-coding RNA NONBTAT006863". Lineage: Eukaryota; Metazoa; Chordata; Mammalia; Artiodactyla; Bovidae. The record is from RNAcentral.
AAUCAUGCAGGAAGACAACUUCAAGAGAGAUUAAAGAGCAAAAGUUAAUAUAUUGCAUGAAUUAAAUGAUAAGAGGACAUUUGUUUUGUUUUUAAGAUAGGUACAAGUUUCAAGAAGGUGCUGUCUGUUUUGAGUGCUUUUAAGGAGUCUGUGACUUUCCUUGGGAAUACAUAUGAAGUGCUUUUCUCUUAUUUUGCUAUUCAUUUCCCUUGAAAAAGGACACUUAGUUUGUUUUACUAGAUUUUCAAAUGCAAAUUCAGCUUAUUCUUGUGGCAUGUAGAGUCUCUAAGGAUGAGACUUGCUGAAAUCUAAAACCAUUUCACAUUCUUGGAUCUUACAGUUUUAAGUAGAUUGCUCCUUGUUUUGUUCCAAGUGUCUUGAGUGAUUUGGGUGUUAAACCAGCAGAAACUUUGUUUUUUUGGUUUCCCAUAAAGAAAAUAAAGGUGAGAAAGGAAUGAUUUCCUGGAUAAUUCAAAGAGAAGAUUUAACAUACAAAUCCUUAACAUGCUAUACUAUACAGGAACUUCCAAAUCAGCUUAUGUUACAACUCAGCACGACAAUUGUUAAACUCAUUUAUUUUAAAAGAGCUUUUAUAUGUGAUACAUGUUAAAAGAGCCAAGAAGAGGGGGACUUUAACACCAUUCUUCUGAAUAUGACUCUGAACUUGAAAUAUAUGGCGCAUUUCAUUUGUUUGCUCAUUUGUGAUCCGCACAGUCCUUAGACUAAACUUUUCAAUGACAGAAA